Molecule: ribosomal RNA, 273 nt
Filed under: uncultured bacterium
Lineage: Bacteria
Description: partial 16S ribosomal RNA
Rfam family: Bacterial small subunit ribosomal RNA
Source: RNAcentral
UACGAAGGGGGCUAGCGUUGUCCGGAAUUAUUGGGCGUAAAGAGCUCGUAGGCGGUUUGUCGCGUCUGCUGUGAAAGCCCGGGGCUCAACCCCGGGUCUGCAGUGGGUACGGGCAGACUAGAGUGCAGUAGGGGAGACUGGAAUUCCUGGUGUAGCGGUGAAAUGCGCAGAUAUCAGGAGGAACACCGAUGGCGAAGGCAGGUCUCUGGGCUGUAACUGACGCUGAGGAGCGAAAGCAUGGGGAGCGAACAGGAUUAGAAACCCCCGUAGUCC